Molecule: ribosomal RNA, 429 nt
Filed under: Pseudomonadota bacterium
Lineage: Bacteria; Pseudomonadati; Pseudomonadota
Description: Proteobacteria bacterium partial 16S ribosomal RNA
Rfam family: Bacterial small subunit ribosomal RNA
Source: RNAcentral
UGGGGAAUAUUGGACAAUGGGCGAAAGCCUGAUCCAGCCAUGCCGCGUGUGCGAAGAAGGUCUUCGGAUUGUAAAGCACUUUAAGUUGGGAGGAAGGGCAGUAAGCGAAUACCUUGCUGUUUUGACGUUACCGACAGAAUAAGCACCGGCUAACUCUGUGCCAGCAGCCGCGGUAAUACAGAGGGUGCAAGCGUUAAUCGGAAUUACUGGGCGUAAAGCGCGCGUAGGUGGUUCGUUAAGUUGAAUGUGAAAGCCCCGGGCUCAACCUGGGAACUGCAUCCAAAACUGGCGAGCUAGAGUAGGGCAGAGGGUGGUGGAAUUUCCUGUGUAGCGGUGAAAUGCGUAGAUAUAGGAAGGAUCACCAGUGGCGAAGGCGACCACCUGGGCUCAUACUGACACUGAGGUGCGAAAGCGUGGGGAGCAAACAGG